CGCGAAUGGCUCAUUACAACAGCUAUAAUUCACUUGAUCUUGACACAAUCCUACUUGGAUAACUGUGGUAAUUCUAGAGCUAAUACAUGCAUUAAAGCUCUGACCUCACGGAAAGAGUGCAUUUAUUAGAACAAAACCAAGCGGCUUCGGCUGUUUUCGGUUGACUCAUAGUAACUGAGCUGAUCGCAUGGUCUUGCACCGGCGACGUGUCUUUCAAGUAUCUGCCGUAUCAACUUUCGAUGGUAGUGUAUCUGACUACCAUGGUGAUCACGCGUAACGGAGAAUAAGGGUUCGACUCCGGAGAGUUCGCCUGAGAAAUCGCGAACACAUCUAAGGAAGGCAGCAGGCGCGAAAAUUACCCACUCUCAGCACGAGGAGGUAGUGACGAAUAAUAACGAGACCGUUCUCUUUCGAGGCCGGUCAUCGGAAUGGGUACAAUUUAAACCCUUUAACGAGUAUCUAUGAGAGGGCAAGUCUGGUGCCAGCAGCCGCGGUAAUUCCAGCU
Molecule: ribosomal RNA, 505 nt
Filed under: Eucephalobus cf. oxyuroides JH-2004
Lineage: Eukaryota; Metazoa; Nematoda; Chromadorea; Rhabditida; Cephalobidae
Description: SSU rRNA
Rfam family: Eukaryotic small subunit ribosomal RNA
Source: RNAcentral